This 986-nucleotide ribosomal RNA is filed under the name Bacteroides thetaiotaomicron. RNAcentral's name for it is "bacterial SSU rRNA". It matches the Rfam family "Bacterial small subunit ribosomal RNA", at positions 195 to 1188 of the family's 1533-position model. The record is from RNAcentral. Lineage: Bacteria; Pseudomonadati; Bacteroidota; Bacteroidia; Bacteroidales; Bacteroidaceae.
UUGUUAUUAAAGAAUUUCGGUUAUCGAUGGGGAUGCGUUCCAUUAGGCAGUUGGUGAGGUAACGGCUCACCAAACCUUCGAUGGAUAGGGGUUCUGAGAGGAAGGUCCCCCACAUUGGAACUGAGACACGGUCCAAACUCCUACGGGAGGCAGCAGUGAGGAAUAUUGGUCAAUGGGCGCAGGCCUGAACCAGCCAAGUAGCGUGAAGGAUGACUGCCCUAUGGGUUGUAAACUUCUUUUAUAUGGGAAUAAAGUUUUCCACGUGUGGAAUUUUGUAUGUACCAUAUGAAUAAGGAUCGGCUAACUCCGUGCCAGCAGCCGCGGUAAUACGGAGGAUCCGAGCGUUAUCCGGAUUUAUUGGGUUUAAAGGGAGCGUAGGUGGACAGUUAAGUCAGUUGUGAAAGUUUGCGGCUCAACCGUAAAAUUGCAGUUGAUACUGGCUGUCUUGAGUACAGUAGAGGUGGGCGGAAUUCGUGGUGUAGCGGUGAAAUGCUUAGAUAUCACGAAGAACUCCGAUUGCGAAGGCAGCUCACUGGACUGCAACUGACACUGAUGCUCGAAAGUGUGGGUAUCAAACAGGAUUAGAUACCCUGGUAGUCCACACAGUAAACGAUGAAUACUCGCUGUUUGCGAUAUACAGUAAGCGGCCAAGCGAAAGCAUUAAGUAUUCCACCUGGGGAGUACGCCGGCAACGGUGAAACUCAAAGGAAUUGACGGGGGCCCGCACAAGCGGAGGAACAUGUGGUUUAAUUCGAUGAUACGCGAGGAACCUUACCCGGGCUUAAAUUGCAUUUGAAUAUAUUGGAAACAGUAUAGCCGUAAGGCAAAUGUGAAGGUGCUGCAUGGUUGUCGUCAGCUCGUGCCGUGAGGUGUCGGCUUAAGUGCCAUAACGAGCGCAACCCUUAUCUUUAGUUACUAACAGGUCAUGCUGAGGACUCUAGAGAGACUGCCGUCGUAAGAUGUGAGGAAGGUGGGGAUGACGUCAA